This 1021-nucleotide ribosomal RNA is filed under the name Verticillium bjoernoeyanum. RNAcentral's name for it is "SSU rRNA". It matches the Rfam family "Eukaryotic small subunit ribosomal RNA", at positions 79 to 1107 of the family's 1831-position model. Lineage: Eukaryota; Fungi; Ascomycota; Sordariomycetes; Glomerellales; Plectosphaerellaceae. The record is from RNAcentral.
AAGCGAAACUGCGAAUGGCUCAUUAUAUAAGUUAUCGUUUAUUUGAUAGUACCUUACUACAUGGAUAACCGUGGUAAUUCUAGAGCUAAUACAUGCUGAAAAUCCCGACUUCGGAAGGGAUGUAUUUAUUAGAUACAAAACCAAUGCCCUUCGGGGCUCUCUUGGUGAUUCAUGAUAACUUCUCGAAUCGCACGGCCCCGCGCCGGCGAUGGUUCAUUCAAAUUUCUUCCCUAUCAACUUUCGAUGCUACGGUAUUGUCCUAGCAUGGUUGCAACGGGUGACGGAGGGUUAGGGCUCGACCCCGGAGAAGGAGCCUGAGAAACGGCUACUACAUCCAAGGAAGGCAGCAGGCGCGCAAAUUACCCAAUCCCGACUCGGGGAGGUAGUGACGAUAAAUACCGAUACAGGGCUCUUUUGGGUCCUGUAAUUGGAAUGAGUACAAUUCAAAUCCCUUAACGAGGAACAAUUGGAGGGCAAGUCUGGUGCCAGCAGCCGCGGUAAUUCCAGCUCCAAUAGCGUAUAUUAAAGUUGUUGUGGUUAAAAAGCUCGUAGUAGAAGCUCGGCCUCCGGUCGGCCGGUCCGCCUCACCGCGUGCACUGGUUCGGCCGGGGCUUCACCUUCUGCGGAACCGCAUCUCCUUCACUGGGGGUGUCGGGGAAACAGGACGUUUACUUUGAAAAAAUUAGAGUGCUCCAGGCAGGCCUAUGCUCGAAUACAUUAGCAUGGAAUAAUGGAAUAGGACGUGUGGUCUUAUUUCGUUGGUUUCUAAGACCGCCGUAAUGAUUAAUAGGGACAGUCGGGGGCAUCAGUAUUCAAUUGUCAGAGGUGAAAUUCUUGGAUCAAUUGAAGACUAACUACUGCGAAAGCAUUUGCCAAGGAUGUUUUCAUUUAUCAGGAACGAAAGUUAGGGGAUCGAAGACGAUCAGAUACCGUCGUAGUCUUAACCAUAAACUAUGCCGACUAGGGAUCGGACGGUGUUAUUUCUUGACCCGUUCGGCACCUUACGAGAAAUCAAAGUGCU